RNAcentral lists this ribosomal RNA (301 nucleotides) under uncultured bacterium. RNAcentral's name for it is "partial 16S ribosomal RNA". It matches the Rfam family "Bacterial small subunit ribosomal RNA", at positions 509 to 807 of the family's 1533-position model. The record is from RNAcentral.
CAGUCGCCACGGGAAUACGAAGGGUGCAAGCGUUAAUCGGAAUUACUGGGCGUAAAGCGUGCGUAGGCGGUUUCUUAAGUCUGCUGUGAAAUCCCCGGGCUCAACCUGGGAAUGGCAGUGGAUACUGGGAAGCUAGAGUGUGUCAGAGGAUGGCGGAAUUCCCGGUGUAGCGGUGAAAUGCGUAGAGAUCGGGAGGAACAUCAGUGGCGAAGGCGGCCAUCUGGGACAACACUGACGCUGAGGCACGAAAGCGUGGGGAGCAAACAGGAUUAGAUACCCCUGUAGUCCCUGUCUCUUAUAC